RNAcentral lists this ribosomal RNA (253 nucleotides) under uncultured bacterium. RNAcentral's name for it is "partial 16S ribosomal RNA". It matches the Rfam family "Bacterial small subunit ribosomal RNA", at positions 524 to 776 of the family's 1533-position model. The record is from RNAcentral.
UACGUAUGGUGCAAGCGUUAUCCGGAUUUACUGGGUGUAAAGGGAGCGCAGGCGGCGCGUUAAGCCUGGUGUGAAAGCCCGCGGCCCAACCGCGGGACUGCAUUGGGAACUGGCGCGCUGGAGUGCCGGAGGGGUAGGCGGAAUUCCUAGUGUAGCGGUGAAAUGCAUAGAUAUCACGCAGAACUCCGAUUGCGAAGGCAGCAUACCGGCGCCCUACUGACGCUGAGGCACGAAAGCGUGGGUAUCGAACAGG